RNAcentral lists this ribosomal RNA (465 nucleotides) under uncultured bacterium. Its description in RNAcentral is "partial 16S ribosomal RNA". It matches the Rfam family "Bacterial small subunit ribosomal RNA", at positions 28 to 507 of the family's 1533-position model. The record is from RNAcentral.
GACGAACGCUGGCGGCGUGCUUAACACAUGCAAGUCGAACGGAAAGGCACUUUUGGGGGUCCUCGAGUGGCGAACGGGUGAGUAACACGUGAGUAACCUGCCCUUUCCUUCGGGAUAACUUCAGGAACCUGGGGCAACUACCGGUUAGGAAUCAUUGCAGCUUGGUGGGGGUUGGAAAGAUCUUGCGGUGUUGGGUGGAUUGGCGGCCUAUCGGCUUGUUGGUGGGGUAGUGGCUUACCGAGGCUAUGACGCGUAGCCGGCCUGUGAGGGCGAGCGGCGACAUUGAGACUGAGGGACGGCCCAGGCGGCGACGGGAGGCAGCAGGGGGGAAGAUUGCACAAGGGGCGGAAGCCGGAUGCAGCAGGGCCGCGGGCGGGAUAGCGGCCUUCGUGUUGAAGACCGCUUGCAGGAGAAGCGAAGCUUGUGGUGACGGUACCUGCAGAAGAAGCACCGGCUAACUACGUG